This 180-nucleotide ribosomal RNA is filed under the name uncultured bacterium. RNAcentral's name for it is "partial 16S ribosomal RNA". It matches the Rfam family "Bacterial small subunit ribosomal RNA", at positions 338 to 509 of the family's 1533-position model. The record is from RNAcentral.
CCUACGGGAGGCAGCAGUAGGGAAUCUUCGGCAAUGGACGGAAGUCUGACCGAGCAACGCCGCGUGAGUGAAGAAGGUUUUCGGAUCGUAAAGCUCUGUUGUAAGAGAAGAACGAGUGUGAGAGUGGAAAGUUCACACUGUGACGGUAUCUUACCAGAAAGGGACGGCUAACUACGUGCC